GAUGAACGCUGGCGGCGUGCCUAAUACAUGCAAGUCGAGCGAACGGACGAGAAGCUUGCUUCUCUGAUGUUAGCGGCGGACGGGUGAGUAACACGUGGAUAACCUACCUAUAAGACUGGGAUAACUUCGGGAAACCGUAGCUAAUACCGGAUAAUAUUUUGAACCGCAUGGUUCAAAAGUGAAAGACGGUCUUGCUGUCACUUAUAGAUGGAUCCGCGCUGCAUUAGCCAGUUGGUAAGGUAACGGCUUACCAAGGCAACGAUGCAUAGCCGACCUGAGAGGGUGAUCGGCCACACUGGAACUGAGACACGGUCCAGACUCCUACGGGAGGCAGCAGUAGGGAAUCUUCCGCAAUGGGCGAAAGCCUGACGGAGCAACGCCGCGUGAGUGAUGAAGGUCUUCGGAUCGUAAAACUCUGUUAUUAGGGAAGAACAUAUGUGUAAGUAACUGUGCACAUCUUGACGGUACCUAAUCAGAAAGCCACGGCUAACUACGUG
This 497-nucleotide ribosomal RNA is filed under the name uncultured bacterium. Its description in RNAcentral is "partial 16S ribosomal RNA". It matches the Rfam family "Bacterial small subunit ribosomal RNA", at positions 28 to 507 of the family's 1533-position model. The record is from RNAcentral.